RNA transcript from Quercus robur (English oak), 2900 nucleotides. It is a transcript of the gene named heat shock 70 kDa protein 16-like, with no coding region annotated. The record is from RefSeq and is a predicted model, not a curated record. NCBI's taxonomy places the organism in Eukaryota, Viridiplantae, Streptophyta, Magnoliopsida, Fagales, Fagaceae. The transcript has 10 exons.
UGCACUUUUGUUUUGGCGAACAUUUCGCAUGCUUUCUCUCUCUGCCACCACUUCUUAAAAUCUUUCUUCAAAUUCUGUGGUGCUUUCCAUUUUGGUUUCUACGUCUUUCUCGAGCGUCCAAAAAGAAAACCUGUUCCUCAAUAAGCAAUAAGGGUGUGGAUCAAGUGUGAGGAGGAAUGAAGUUUUUGGUUGGUUGAGGAAAGUGGGAAUUUGGACUUAUUAAUUUAGUUGCUACUUUUUGUUCUUGCUAAAUUUGUGGUUUAGUCUGAUUUUGAGUCAGUUGAAAUGAGUGUGGUGGGCUUUGACAUCGGAAAUGAGAACUGUGUUAUAGCUGUGGUGAAGCAGCGGGGUAUUGAUGUUUUAUUGAAUGAUGAAUCGAAUCGCGAAACCCCGGCAGUGGUAUCUUUUGGGGAGAAGCAAAGGUUUCUGGGGUCCGCUGGUGCUGCUUCUGCUAUGAUGAACCUGAAGUCCACAGUAUCUCAGGUGAAGAGAUUGAUUGGUAGAAAAUUUAAGGAGCCAGAUGUUCAAAAUGAGCUAAAAAUGUUCCCAGUUGAAACUUCAGAAGGCCCAGAUGGUGAGAUUUUGGUUCAUAUGAAGUACUUGGGUGCAACCCAUACAUUUACCCCAGUUCAGAUUAUGGCAAUGCUCUUUUCUCAUUUGAAAGAGAUAACAGAGAAAAGUUUGGAAAUUCCCAUUUCAGAUUGUGUAAUUGGGGUCCCAUCAUACUUCACAGAUAUGCAGAGACAUGCAUAUUUGAAUGCUGCAACAAUUGCUGGGUUGAAGCCUUUGAGAUUGAUGCAUGACUGCACUGCAACUGCUCUUAAUUUUGGGAUUUACAAAACGGAUUUUCCUACUUCGGGCCCAAACUGUGUUGUGUUUAUUGACAUUGGUCAUUGUGAUACCCAGGUCUCUAUUGCAUCAUUUGAGGCUGGGCAUAUGAGGAUUUUAUCACAUACUUUUGACGGAAGCUUGGGAGGGAGAGAUUUUGAUGAGGUUUUGUUUAGUCAUUUUGCUGCACAAUUCAAGGAGCAGUACCAUAUUGAUGUGUACUCUAAUGUCAAAGCAUGCAUCAGGCUGCGAGCAGCAUGCGAGAAGCUGAAGAAAGUUUUGAGUGCAAAUCCAGAGGCACCUCUGACCAUUGAGUGUUUGAUGGAGGAGAAAGAUGUUAAGGGCUUUAUCAAGAGAGAAGAAUUUGAGAAGCUAGCUUCAGGAUUGUUGGAGAGGCUUAGCAUUCCUUGUAAAAAAGCCUUGGCUGAUGUAGGGUUGCCUGAAAAGAUCCAUUCUGUUGAGCUUGUUGGCUCAGGAUCUAGGAUUCCAGCAAUUACUAGACUGAUAGCUUCUCUAUUCAGGAGAGAACCCAGACGGACACUGAAUACAAGUGAAUGUGUGGCACGUGGAUGUGCUCUUCAGUGUGCAAUGCUUAGUCCAGUUUUUCGGGUCAGAGAAUAUGAGGUUCAAGAUAUAAUUCCUUUCUCCAUAGGAUUCUCAUCAGAAGAAGGCCCAGUUGGCACAGGAUCAAAUGGCAUACUUUUCCGGAGAGGCCAGCCCAUUCCAAGUAUUAAACUUCUGACAUUUCAACGAAGUAGUACAUUCCAUUUGGAAGCAUUCUAUGCGAAUCAACAAGAAUUGCCUCCUGGUGUGUCAUCAAAAAUCAGUUGUUUCACGAUUGGCCCUUUCAGCAUCUCCCAUGGUGAAAAGGCAAGGGUUAAAGUUAAAGUUAUAUUAAACCUGCAUGGAAUUGUCAGUGUUGAGUCAGCUACGUUGAUAGAAGAUCAUGUAGAUGAUUCAGUCACAAGGGGCAAUACUCAUUCAAAUAUUUCUGGUUCUUCUGAUAUGGUUGCAAAUGGUGUUGAAGAUAGUAGCAUUACACAGCCAAAAUCUUCACAUGCUUCUGCUGAUGGAUUGAGAGAAGAUAAAGCGACCAGGAGGCUUGAGAUACCAGUUAGCGUAAAUACAUAUGGUGGAAUGACUGAGGCUGAGCUCUAUGAAGCCCAACAAAAAGAAAUCCAGCUGGCCCAACAGGACAGAGCUGUAGAACUAACAAAAGAAAGGAAGAAUGCCUUAGAAUCGUAUGUGUAUGAGAUGCGGAAUAAGCUGUUCAACACAUAUCGGAGCUUUGCAAGUGAUCAGGAGAGAGAGGGCAUAUCUAGAAGCCUACAACAGACAGAGGAGUGGCUUUAUGAUGAUGGGGAUGACGAAACUGAAAAUGCUUAUACUUCAAAAUUAGAGGGUCUAAAGAAGUUGGUGGAUCCAAUUGAUAAUCGUUAUAAAGAUGAAGAAGCAAGAGCACAAGCUACAAGAGAUCUGCUGAAGUCCGUUGUGGAUUAUAGGAUGUCUGUAGAUUCGAUCCGACCCGAAGAUCGAGAAAUGGUAUGCUAUGGAAUUGGCAAUGAUGACUAUUAUAAAUCUGGGAAAAAACUUAGAUCGUUAAUGAGUGCAAUAAAGCAGAGCAGUGGCUAAGAGAGAAAUCCCAACUACAAGAUUCCAUGCCCAAGAACACCGACCCAGUAUUAUGGUCAGCCGAUAUCAAGAGAAGGAAAGAGGAUUUGGACAUGACAUGUAAGCAUAUACUGAGAUCAAAGGCUUCUCCUCCAAAUCCAGAGGACCAGGGGUCAGACUAGCACAAUAUUUACAAUCAACACAUGAAUACUAUGCUGUGGUGAUGCCUCCAUACUCCAUAGGUUUGAGAUUUGAAUCUCGUCUACUUUCUGGUAGAUUAUCCUUUUUUUUUUUUUCCUUUCUUUUUCAACUUCUUUUCUCUUUUGUGAAUUGUGAUAUGAGGGAGUAAUCCAAGAGAAUUGUAGUUAACAUCGACCCCAGUUUUUGCUUGUUUGCCUAGGCCCUAGGCUUUGAACAACAAUAAUGAAAAUAGUUUUCAAUUUUUUGCAAUUCCGGUUAAA